RNAcentral lists this small RNA (773 nucleotides) under Histoplasma capsulatum. Its description in RNAcentral is "hypothetical RNA". Lineage: Eukaryota; Fungi; Ascomycota; Eurotiomycetes; Onygenales; Ajellomycetaceae. The record is from RNAcentral. RNAcentral also lists the same sequence under 1 other name.
UCACGUUCCCAGAAACUCUAGUUCUUUUACAUAAUUUUUAUAAUCAUGAUUCAUUUCAUGUUUAUGUCAAGAAAUGCACUGGGAUCGAAUCAAAUCAAAGCAAAUAUGUAAUUCAUGGUCUCGCUGACCACUCUAGUUUCAAGGAAUUCUCUUCUAAAUCAGCAGCAAGGCCCCACUCGCUGCAAAGUCCGUGUAGGUAGUGGGUCCCGCUCGUCAUCCUGUUAAAGCGGUUACUGCGUGUCAUUAUCCUGAGAUCUCGACCACGUAGGCCAAAUUUAUACCAAGCGAGAUCUUUAAAACUUGCGGUUAAAUCUUACUACCCUUUUUUAAACAGAUAAAUCACUGUGUGCAUUUUGUAAGAAAACGUGGUUUAAAUACAUCUAUUUUUCAUUUAUCAUGAAUUCAGUUUUUUCAACCAUUUUCAAUCUGCUUAAGAUUGUCAUAUACUUGAUUUCAGCAACCAGCAGUACUACUAUAUCAUCAGAGUUAAACAAUAUUAUUAAAAAAGAAGUAUAUGACAUGCUUUACAGUGUAGAAAUUGAUACCAAUGGGAUUUUACAUCUAGCUGAUGAUGGUAUAUUGCGAUCAUUUGAUGAAACUGGCAAUGUUCUUGAUUAUCGAAGAUUAAAUAAUACUCAUUUGAGAACUGUUGCUGGCUUGUAUUCAAAAGAUAUUAACAAUCAUUUAUUAAAUAUAUGGAAUAAUAUUGAUAGUUUUCAGGUUGAAGAGAAGGCAAUUUGGCAUCCAUCUACGGAUCUUUAUCCUCUCCCACU